This 2018-nucleotide ribosomal RNA is filed under the name Campylobacter jejuni. RNAcentral describes it as "partial 23S ribosomal RNA". It matches the Rfam family "Bacterial large subunit ribosomal RNA", at positions 920 to 2925 of the family's 2925-position model. Lineage: Bacteria; Pseudomonadati; Campylobacterota; Epsilonproteobacteria; Campylobacterales; Campylobacteraceae. The record is from RNAcentral.
UAGGGCAUACACCAAUGUACCAAACCCUAUCAAACUCCGAAUACCUUAUAUGUAAUCACAGCAGUCAGGCGGCGAGUGAUAAAAUCCGUCGUCAAGAGGGAAACAACCCAGACUACCAGCUAAGGUCCCUAAAUCUUACUUAAGUGGAAAACGAUGUGAAGUUACUUAAACAACCAGGAGGUUGGCUUAGAAGCAGCCAUCCUUUAAAGAAAGCGUAAUAGCUCACUGGUCUAGUGAUUUUGCGCGGAAAAUAUAACGGGGCUAAAGUAAGUACCGAAGCUGUAGACUUAGUUUACUAAGUGGUAGGAGAGCGUUCUAUUUGCGUCGAAGGUAUACCGGUAAGGAGUGCUGGAGCGAAUAGAAGUGAGCAUGCAGGCAUGAGUAGCGAUAAUUAAUGUGAGAAUCAUUAACGCCGUAAACCCAAGGUUUCCUACGCGAUGCUCGUCAUCGUAGGGUUAGUCGGGUCCUAAGUCGAGUCCGAAAGGGGUAGACGAUGGCAAAUUGGUUAAUAUUCCAAUACCAACAUUAGUGUGCGAUGGAAGGACGCUUAGGGCUAAGGGGGCUAGCGGAUGGAAGUGCUAGUCUAAGGUCGUAGGAGGUUAUACAGGCAAAUCCGUAUAACAAUACUCCGAGAACUGAAAGGCUUUUUGAAGUCUUCGGAUGGAUAGAAGAACCCCUGAUGCCGUCGAGCCAAGAAAAGUUUCUAAGUUUAGCUAAUGUUGCCCGUACCGUAAACCGACACAGGUGGGUGGGAUGAGUAUUCUAAGGCGCGUGGAAGAACUCUCUUUAAGGAACUCUGCAAAAUAGCACCGUAUCUUCGGUAUAAGGUGUGGUUAGCUUUGUAUUAGGAUUUACUCCGAAAGCAAGGAAACUUACAACAAAGAGUCCCUCCCGACUGUUUACCAAAAACACAGCACUCUGCUAACUCGUAAGAGGAUGUAUAGGGUGUGACGCCUGCCCGGUGCUCGAAGGUUAAUUGAUGGGGUUAGCAUUAGCGAAGCUCUUGAUCGAAGCCCGAGUAAACGGCGGCCGUAACUAUAACGGUCCUAAGGUAGCGAAAUUCCUUGUCGGUUAAAUACCGACCUGCAUGAAUGGCGUAACGAGAUGGGAGCUGUCUCAAAGAGGGAUCCAGUGAAAUUGUAGUGGAGGUGAAAAUUCCUCCUACCCGCGGCAAGACGGAAAGACCCCGUGGACCUUUACUACAGCUUGACACUGCUACUUGGAUAAGAAUGUGCAGGAUAGGUGGGAGGCUUUGAGUAUAUGACGCCAGUUGUAUAUGAGCCAUUGUUGAGAUACCACUCUUUCUUAUUUGGGUAGCUAACCAGCUUGAGUUAUCCUCAAGUGGGACAAUGUCUGGUGGGUAGUUUGACUGGGGCGGUCGCCUCCCAAAUAAUAACGGAGGCUUACAAAGGUUGGCUCAGAACGGUUGGAAAUCGUUCGUAGAGUAUAAAGGUAUAAGCCAGCUUAACUGCAAGACAUACAAGUCAAGCAGAGACGAAAGUCGGUCUUAGUGAUCCGGUGGUUCUGUGUGGAAGGGCCAUCGCUCAAAGGAUAAAAGGUACCCCGGGGAUAACAGGCUGAUCUCCCCCAAGAGCUCACAUCGACGGGGAGGUUUGGCACCUCGAUGUCGGCUCAUCGCAUCCUGGGGCUGGAGCAGGUCCCAAGGGUAUGGCUGUUCGCCAUUUAAAGCGGUACGCGAGCUGGGUUCAGAACGUCGUGAGACAGUUCGGUCCCUAUCUGCCGUGGGCGUAAGAAGAUUGAAGAGAUUUGACCCUAGUACGAGAGGACCGGGUUGAACAAACCACUGGUGUAGCUGUUGUUCUGCCAAGAGCAUCGCAGCGUAGCUAAGUUUGGAAAGGAUAAACGCUGAAAGCAUCUAAGCGUGAAGCCAACUCUAAGAUGAAUCUUCUCUAAGCUCUCUAGAAGACUACUAGUUUGAUAGGCUGGGUGUGUAAUGGAUGAAAGUCCUUUAGCUGACCAGUACUAAUAGAGCGUUUGGCUUAUCUUUAAUAAAGCAU